GCCACCUUAGCUCAGCUGGUAGAGCAGACGAUUCGUAAUCGUCAGGUCAAGAGUUCGAUCCUCUUAGGUGGCU
Molecule: transfer RNA, 73 nt
Filed under: bacterium
Lineage: Bacteria
Description: tRNA-Thr
Rfam family: tRNA
About the family: Transfer RNA (tRNA) molecules are approximately 80 nucleotides in length.
Source: RNAcentral